GACGAACGCUGGCGGCGUGCUUAACACAUGCAAGUCGAACGGAAAGGCCCUGCUUUUGUGGGGUGCUCGAGUGGCGAACGGGUGAGUAACACGUGAGUAACCUGCCCUUGACUUUGGGAUAACUUCAGGUAACUGGGGCUAAUACCGGAUAGGAGCUCCUGCUGCAUGGUGGGGGUUGGAAAGUUUCGGCUGUUGGGGAUGGACUCGCGGCUUAUCAGCUUGUUGGUGGGGUAGUGGCUUACCAAGGCUUUGACGGGUAGCCGGCCUGAGAGGGUGAACGGCCACAUUGGGACUGAGAUACGGCCCAGACUCCUACGGGAGACAGCAGUGGGGAAUAUUGCACAAUGGGCGGAAGCCUGAUGCAGCAACGCCGCGUGCGGGAUGACGGCCUUCGGGUUGUAAACCGCUUUCGCCUGUGACGAAGCGUGAGUGACGGUAAUGGGUAAAGAAGCACCGGCUAACUACGUG
RNAcentral lists this ribosomal RNA (468 nucleotides) under uncultured bacterium. RNAcentral describes it as "partial 16S ribosomal RNA". It matches the Rfam family "Bacterial small subunit ribosomal RNA", at positions 28 to 507 of the family's 1533-position model. The record is from RNAcentral.